RNAcentral lists this non-coding RNA (217 nucleotides) under Janthinobacterium agaricidamnosum. Lineage: Bacteria; Pseudomonadati; Pseudomonadota; Betaproteobacteria; Burkholderiales; Oxalobacteraceae. RNAcentral also lists the same sequence under 1 other name. The record is from RNAcentral.
GUAUAAUGGAGAGGUUUUGGUGCCCGCGCGCAUGUCCAUGUGCGCAGUUAAACGGGAAACACAAAGCCGCUCCAGCGGUAAAUGUGUGCUGCCCCCGCAACGGUAAGCAAGUGUCGCGAUCCGCGACGAGCUGUCUAUGAAAACCACUGUGCAUCGCAUGGGAAGGUGUGACAGUCAACUUGCCAGCCCGGAUACCGGCCAGGACAGGUGGAAGUGU